AACGAACGCUGGCGGCAUGCCUAACACAUGCAAGUCGAACGAGACCUUCGGGUCUAGUGGCGCACGGGUGCGUAACGCGUGGGAAUCUGCCCUUAGGUUCGGAAUAACUUCGGGAAACUGAAGCUAAUACCGGAUGAUGACGUAAGUCCAAAGAUUUAUCGCCUAAGGAUGAGCCCGCGUAGGAUUAGCUAGUUGGUGAGGUAAAGGCUCACCAAGGCGACGAUCCUUAGCUGGUCUGAGAGGAUGAUCAGCCACACUGGGACUGAGACACGGCCCAGACUCCUACGGGAGGCAGCAGUGGGGAAUAUUGGACAAUGGGCGAAAGCCUGAUCCAGCGACGCCGCGUGGUGGAUGAAGGUCUUCGGAUCGUAACACCUUUUGUAUGGGACGAAUUUUAUGACGGUACCAUGCGAAUAAGAGGUUGCUAACUCUGUGCCAGCAGCCGCGGUAAU
Molecule: ribosomal RNA, 452 nt
Filed under: uncultured bacterium
Lineage: Bacteria
Description: bacterial SSU rRNA
Rfam family: Bacterial small subunit ribosomal RNA
Source: RNAcentral